GCGGGCGUGGUGGAAUUGGUAGACACGCUAGACUUAGGAUCUAGUGCCUUACGGUGUGAGAGUUCGAGUCUCUCCGCCCGCA
This 82-nucleotide transfer RNA is filed under the name Salegentibacter salegens. RNAcentral's name for it is "tRNA_Leu_TAG". It matches the Rfam family "tRNA". From Rfam's summary of the family: Transfer RNA (tRNA) molecules are approximately 80 nucleotides in length. Their secondary structure includes four short double-helical elements and three loops (D, anti-codon, and T loops). Lineage: Bacteria; Pseudomonadati; Bacteroidota; Flavobacteriia; Flavobacteriales; Flavobacteriaceae. The record is from RNAcentral. RNAcentral also lists the same sequence under 12 other names.